Long non-coding RNA from Homo sapiens (human), 1866 nucleotides. Ensembl annotates it as sciatic injury induced lincRNA upregulator of SOX11. Its record names the gene SILC1. Lineage: Eukaryota; Metazoa; Chordata; Mammalia; Primates; Hominidae. The record is from Ensembl.
GGCAGUGUUUUGACGACUGCCUCACUAAAGGAAGCUAAAAGCUGUGCUGAUGCCUCCCAGACGAGCCUCGUUGGAAGCACAGAACCUUCACGGCUCGGAGCCGCUGACACCGUGACAAAGGGAGCCCUGCUCAGGAGGAAAAGUAGACAAGAGGGAGAAAUUGAGAUUCAAAUAAUCCAACACUCAGGCAGAUUGCCUGCUAGCAUGCUUAUCUCUCAUCAGCACAGUGAGGGAGGGGCCUGUGUCACUUUACAGAUGAGGCAGAGGGUCCCGCAACUCCUUAAGGGUGGAACUAGGAUUGGAAACCACUCCUCCUGGCUCCUCUUUUCCUGCCAAGAGCGCUGCACCAGCUCUGGAGGAAGCCUCAGGAGAGGUUACACAAGUCUCAGCUGCCUGUGGUAUUUGAGUGGCCAUGGAGGAUGGAAUUUAUGCUGCUGGAAUAACUAGAGCCACUGCCCCUCAUCUGCAGAGAAGACACACUAUCUUGCAAUUGCAGAACUCCUGUGCCUCGCUUUCGAAAUUGGUCAUAAGCUGGAGGCUGAUGUUAUCUUUCCUCACCCUUCAGACCCAAGUUCCCCAACUCCUCUCACCGCCCCCAACCACCGCUUUAAUGACCGGUAAACAAGCAGCUAAAUGCACCAUGCACUGAGGGGCUCCAGCGAGGGGAGGAGGUGACUCUUCUGAAGAAGGGCUCCACCUGAGUUACUGAGUCAGCGAAAAGGCACCUUUAUCCAGGCCUAGAGCAAAACGCAAUCAGCCUUCACAGGACUGGUUUCCCAGCCAUGAGCUUGGGGGACAGGGCUGGCUGCAACGGGGGCUGCCAAGGGCCCAGGUUCUGUGCUGGAAACAAGAGCACUCUGGUGGACUCGGAAAUACAGCGCUGAGGUGGGUGGGCUUUAGUCGGAGCCACCUCCCCGACAUUCCUGCCCCAGGCUUCUCUCCCAGGCUUUCCUUCCUGGCCCUGCCAUUCUGCAUUCCUUACCAACCUGCUGUAUUCCCACUCUCGGCUGCCAGGAAGCCUCCUCUUCCCCCGAGCUUUACAGCGUUCAUUAUUUACCUUCCAGUUUGCACAGUUAUAUCACUGGAGUUUAAGCACACUUUCUAUGUGCAGAACAAACAUUCGCACAUGCCACAACGUACAGUGGGCUGUUUUGUGCCACGUGAUGUGCUACUGUAUGCAAAUUAAAGACGAAGUUAACAUUCCCUGUUGCUGGCUUUUCCAAGUGUGUGGGUAUCCAUUAUAGACUUCAAUUCUUUGUAAAUAUUUCAAAGGAAGAAACUCAAAGAGAUGAUAUGAAGGUUGUGAAAUUCCCCAUCAUAAAAUCAGAAACUGAUUAAACCUGGAACAUGCAAAGCCAAUAUUGAUUUCAGCAGCAAAACCAAAAUCAGGACAAGCAGACAAUAUUUUCAUAAUUAAAAAAGAAAAUGAGCUCAUGUGAAGAGAUGUUAUCAUCACUCGUAACUUGAAGAUGCUUUUGGAUACACUGCAAUAAUUCAGCUAACGUUAACAUAAAAAUGAAAGAAAUUUUUCCACAUCUGUAUUAUUAGCAAAUGAAUUAGGCAAUUAAUAAUUUGUUUGCUUUAAAAUGUCAUUUUCAUAAACACAAUUUAAGCAUUAUAUAUUUAUGACAAUAUCUUUCAUUUUAAAGUUAUUUUUACUUAGUGUUUAUUGUAUGUUAAUUCGCUCUCUUUCUGUUCCUUUUUUAUUGUCAAAAGUCCAUAUUAUGUAGAGAUAAUUUUUGCUAGCUAUUGUAAUAUAUAAUCUUGUUAGAAUAUAUUCGUCCAUAAUAACAAAUUAUACAUUUAUCAUAGUAUGUGUUUUACAAAAAAAUCUCCUUUAAUGUAACCCUAUUACAGAAAAAAAAA